Molecule: non-coding RNA, 72 nt
Organism: Camelus ferus (Wild Bactrian camel)
Lineage: Eukaryota; Metazoa; Chordata; Mammalia; Artiodactyla; Camelidae
Source: Rfam
GAGGGGAUAGCUCAGUGGUAGAGUGCAUGCUUAGCAUGCACAAGGUCCUGGGUUCAAUCCCCAGUACCUCUA